UACGUAGGGGGCAAGCGUUGUUCGGAAUUACUGGGCGUAAAGGGCGCGUAGGCGGCACGGCAAGUCAGGAGUGAAAGGCCUGGGCUCAACCGAGGAACUGCUUUUGAGACUGCCGAGCUAGAGUGCAGAAGGGGCAACUGGAAUUCCCAGUGUAGCGGUGAAAUGCGUAGAUAUUACACAGAACACCGAUAGCGAAGGCAGCUUACUAAGCUAAUAUUGACGCUCAUGCACGAAAGCGUGGGGAGCGAACAGG
RNAcentral lists this ribosomal RNA (253 nucleotides) under uncultured bacterium. RNAcentral's name for it is "partial 16S ribosomal RNA". It matches the Rfam family "Bacterial small subunit ribosomal RNA", at positions 524 to 776 of the family's 1533-position model. The record is from RNAcentral.